AUUUGUCUCCUACUUUGGCUGAGACAGAAUCCUAGCCAAUAGGCUGCAGGCCAUUAGCAGCUUUGAGUCAGCAGGGCAGCUGACCCAAGUUAGUUACAGGUGUAUGCCAUACCAAAGCACCACACUCAUUAUAAAGGAAGAAGUCUGCUAACGACAAGUUCCUUCUGCCUGAGCUCCUGCUGCUUCUCCCCACCACCCCUCGAAGGGCUGACUUACCAUCCUGCUCCGCCUUCGCAUCUACUAGUUCAAUUUAAUGGAAUAAGAUGACUGAGCUGAUGGACAGAAAAGGAAGACCUUUUUAGUAAAACAACUCAUCAGCCCAACUGUAUCUGGACCACCGAUGACAGCUGUGUAGAGACAGGCUUCCAAAGAAAUAAUCUGAAGACUAGGAAGAACAAAGUAACUGUUCAAAGGCAAAGAGCAUCUAAGAACGUUAUAUAGGCUUCUACCUAUA
Long non-coding RNA from Pogoniulus pusillus (Red-fronted tinkerbird), 454 nucleotides. RefSeq lists it as uncharacterized. The transcript has 3 exons. The record is from RefSeq and is a predicted model, not a curated record. Lineage: Eukaryota; Metazoa; Chordata; Aves; Piciformes; Lybiidae.